RNAcentral lists this ribosomal RNA (521 nucleotides) under uncultured bacterium. RNAcentral describes it as "bacterial SSU rRNA". It matches the Rfam family "Bacterial small subunit ribosomal RNA", at positions 25 to 518 of the family's 1533-position model. The record is from RNAcentral.
CAGGACGAACGCUGGCGGCGUGCCUAAUACAUGCAAGUCGAACGGUCUUUCUAUGGAAGCCUGCUUCCACUGAGAAGAUAGUGGCGAACGGGUGAGUAACACGUGGGUAACCUGCCCAUAAGGAGGGGGAUAACAUCCGGAAACGGGUGCUAAUACCGCAUAGUUUUCUUGAUCGCAUGAUUGAGAAAGGAAAGACGGCCUUUGUGCUGUCGCUUAUGGAUGGACCCGCGGCGUAUUAGUUAGUUGGUGAGGUAACGGCUCACCAAGACGAUGAUACGUAGCCGACCUGAGAGGGUGAUCGGCCACAUUGGGACUGAGACACGGCCCAAACUCCUACGGGAGGCAGCAGUAGGGAAUCUUCCGCAAUGGACGAAAGUCUGACGGAGCAACGCCGCGUGAGUGAAAGAAGGUUUUCGGAUCGUAAAACUCUGUUGUCAGAGAAGAACAAGUUGGAGAGUAACUGCUCCAGCCUUGACGGUAUCUGACCAGAAAGCCACGGCUAACUACGUGCCAGCCGCCGC